UACACGAUGGAAAUAUUAUAUCAGUUGAUAAGCCUCAAAUGUUUCUGGAUUUCUGAAGAUCUUGUUAAUCAAUAACACCUCCACGUAUUGUUUUAUGCGAAAAUCUUUGAAAUAGUGGAGGAAAUUAUUUUUUUUCGAGGAUUAGAAAAUGUGCGUUAUAAAUUUUCCUUCAUAGUUUAACCGAAAAUAAUAAAAACCAAUGAGACACACGACAAUUUUGUAAAAAAUCUUGAGAGGGAAAACACCAGGUGGUGGAAGGUGGAAAACAACAUUUUAUUGUGAAACAUGCGAAAAUAAACCCGCUAUGCAUAUUGGAUAUUACUUCGAAUUGGAUCAUAUUACUAUAAAAGAUGAUAAGAAAUAAAUUUGGAUUUAUUUUUUGGUAAA
This 387-nucleotide long non-coding RNA is filed under the name Polistes fuscatus (common paper wasp). RNAcentral's name for it is "uncharacterized LOC122514962". The record is from RNAcentral. Lineage: Eukaryota; Metazoa; Arthropoda; Insecta; Hymenoptera; Vespidae.